RNAcentral lists this ribosomal RNA (1290 nucleotides) under Triticum aestivum (bread wheat). Its description in RNAcentral is "partial small subunit ribosomal RNA". The record is from RNAcentral. Lineage: Eukaryota; Viridiplantae; Streptophyta; Magnoliopsida; Poales; Poaceae.
AUGAUGGCAGUGGAGAAAUGGAGAGCUUACUUGCAAAGAGGACCUUUUAUUAUCAAAACCGAUCAUCAGAGUUUGUGUCAGUUAGGGGAUCAAAUUCUCACAUUUGAUCUUCAACGAAAAGCCAUGACUAAACUGGUGGGACUUCAGUUUCAGUUUCAGUAUAAAAAGGGGACUGAAAACACUGUGGCUGAUGCAUUAUCAAGAGUAGGACAUCUGCUUGCGGUGUCUGCAACUUCUCAGAGUCAACCGGUGUGGAUGCAAGAGGUGGUGAAUUCUUAUGAAGUGGACCCUAAAGCACAACAAUUAAUACAACAGCUAGCAGUUUCUACUGAGAAUGCAGAAGGAUUUUCCUUGCAGCAAGGGAUAAUCAAAUUUCAAGAUAGAAUUUGGAUUGGAGCAAAUUCAGCUCUAAAAACCAAAUUAAUAUCUGCAUUUCAUGAUAGUGCAAUGGGAGGCCAUUCGGGGAUACUUGCUACUUACCAGAGAGUUGACAAACUGUUUGCUUGGUCAGGAUUGAAGAAUGAUGUGACUGAAUAUGUGCAACAAUGUGACAUUUGUCAGAAAGCAAAACAUGAACAUUGCAAGUACCCUGGCCUUCUGAAUCCUUUGCCUAUUCCUGAGGGCCCUUGGCAGCAAGUGACUAUGGAUUUCAUCGAAGGACUCCCUAAAUCUGCUGGGUACAAUGUCAUAUUGGUGGUGGUUGAUAGACAUACUAAAUAUGCCCAUUUCAUUCCUCUUAAACAUCCCUUUUCUGCUCCUGUUGUGGCCAAAGCAUUUUUGGAGGCAGUGGUUAAAUUGCAUGGACCUCCACUUACUAUAGUAUCUGACAGAGACAAGGUUUUCACAAGCAACUUUUGGAGGGAUCUGUUCAAACUAUGGGACACCAAGUUGCACAUGUCUACUGCAUACCACCCACAAACUGAUGGUCAGAGUGAGAGAGUCAAUCAGUGCUUGGAAAUGUAUUUGAGGUGUGCAGUACAUGAUACUCCAACCAAAUGGCAGACUUGGCUUCCUCUUGCUGAAUUCUGGUACAAUACCAAUUUCCAUUCUUCCUUGGGAUGCUCUCCUUUCAAGGCCUUGUAUGGGUAUAAUCCUAGCUAUGGAUUCUUUUCUUCUCUGCUCCAAUCUGACAACAUUGAAGUUGAACAGUGGCUCAGGGAACACCAGGCUCACUCAGCAGUCUUAAAAGCUAACUUAAUGAGAGCUCAAGCAAAAAUAAAACACUAUGCAGAUGCACGCAGAUCGGACAGAUCAUUUUCAGUGGGUGACUAUGUGUAUCUGAAGCUCUAG